CGUGUCCUAUUUCUCCCAUCUUGUUGGGAUCUCUAGGGAAAACCACGUCUCUUCGGAUCGGAGACAAUAGUAUCUCAACGUCAUAUCUCUUUGAAGGCGUUCCUUUGUUUUUUUUUACUCGAAAAUUUGGUGGACGUGGAUCGCAGAGGUUCCAUUCGAGUCAACAUUCUCGAACACUGUUUGCGGAUCGUCGAGGUCCUAUUCGACACCUUUUGAUAGGGGGUGAAUCAUAGUGGGCUCUCUUUUGUUCUGAGUUUUUCACUCCUACAAGACCGUGCGGUGUUCUAGAACAGGAAGGGGGGGUGUGGGCCGGGAUUGUGACGGUUCGAC
Molecule: long non-coding RNA, 330 nt
Filed under: Setaria italica (foxtail millet)
Lineage: Eukaryota; Viridiplantae; Streptophyta; Magnoliopsida; Poales; Poaceae
Description: long non-coding RNA (SITA_LNC001919)
Source: RNAcentral